Alosa sapidissima (American shad) is the source of this 707-nucleotide long non-coding RNA. RefSeq lists it as uncharacterized. NCBI's taxonomy places the organism in Eukaryota, Metazoa, Chordata, Actinopteri, Clupeiformes, Clupeidae. The record is from RefSeq and is a predicted model, not a curated record. The transcript is spliced from 3 exons.
GUUUAAAGCUCCGGGAUGGAAUACAAAGCUCCUACUGAACCUGACCACAGACUCUGCUGGAGAGGCCCAGUUCUCUAUUAACACUACUACUUUCCCUGGAGACUUUGAGCUAAUCGCAAGUACAACAGCUGACAUAAACCAUGUUCAACAUAAAACUCCACAUUAUGAGAGAGCACAGAAGUCUGUAUCCAGAUUAAGACCAGCAUCUCAACAGAGAAGUGCUUCAGAAAUAAGGUGGCGGUGCAGUUCUCCCCCCCCAAAAGUGGUUCCUGGAGAGGAGAGUUCCAUGCAGCUGUCAGCUCAACCUGGCUCUCUGUGUGGCCUCUGUGCUGUGGAUCAGAGCAUCUUUAUCCUGGAACCAGGGAAACGCCUGGUUGCCCAGAAGGUUACCAUAGCUACACAGAAGUCCACUACAACGACAUGAUACAUCUCCAAACGCAGUGGGCACUGUAUUAUUCCGAGGGUUUUGCAAAUAGCAAAGUAUACAUCACAGAUUUUCUUUCAGCUUCACUUUCUCCUCUCUUCAGUUGGUACUGUCCCACUGGUAUUUACAGCAUAGCAAAGCAGAGUAGUUAGCAACACAUAGUAGCACGAAGCAAUAUAUUGAGCAUUGUCAUAUUUAUAAUGUUGUUAUGUGUUUUUUUUUUACUUUUUGCACUAUUCUAGCUGUUUGUAUUAUUACCAAACUUGGACCCAAGAGUUCAAUG